This is a long non-coding RNA of Homo sapiens (human), 2014 nucleotides long. Ensembl annotates it as long intergenic non-protein coding RNA 1029. NCBI's taxonomy places the organism in Eukaryota, Metazoa, Chordata, Mammalia, Primates, Hominidae. The record is from Ensembl.
UUUUUGCCUGCCGCCAUCCACGUAAGGUAUGAUUUGCCCCUCCUUGCCUUCUGCCAUGAUUGUGAGGCCUCCCCAGCCACGUGAAACUAGGAAAGUUUGAAGCUUCUAUAAGCAUAAAACCUUGAACUGAGUCACUGGGAACCUGUGAGAGGCUUCUGCAGGCACACGGCAGCCUCCACGAUGUUCUCUCCUCAUUCACGUCUGCCUGCUGCACACCCCAAUUCUCACGCACACCGCCGUUCUGGUCUCCUCCCUGCUAACAGGGAAUUCCCUGGUAAAAAGCUGUUCAGCAUGAGGCGACUCAGAAGGAGCAUGAGCAGAGAUGACCCUAAUAGGUGGUGCCAACACAGUUUCCCUGAGAAGUUGAAAUCGAGGACUGGUGCCCACUGAGGAGGUCUGAGGAGAGGAGGACUCAGAGCAGCCAGAUGCAUCAGGCCCCUCCUGAAGUCUCCGACAGCACGCUGUUCAUUUAGUUGUGAAUUCUAAGGCAAAGACUAUGACUCUGGACCACGCAUUCAAUUAGGGAGGGGAAAACUACCCUCUACUAGAAUAUCACUGAAGGAAGAAAUAGAAGCUCUGAAAUGUCCCUUCUCAAUAAUGUUGGGAAAGGAAGGUUGGGACAUUCAUCCCCAUGACAACUUUUAGAAAGCAUAAGUAUCCAAUUGCUAACAUUGAUUGCUUAUAUUAUAGAAUUAGUUUAAUUUUUUAUGGUGUCUAAAAUAUGGUCAAGUCAGAGCAGUAAGUUCUAAUUUUGAGUUCUGCCCUGCUCCGAAGCAGAAGGAGAGUGCAUGAGAUUAUAUAAAGACUCAGAGAAGAGAUACAGCUCCUCCCGCACCAGAGAAAUGCAGCUCCGUGAGCCCCGAUGGAGCCAGCAUGCUGCUGGGUGCUGAGGAGCAGGCAGAGGCACCCAGGAUGGCGGUCCCCAAGGAGAACGGAGGCACAGAACAACGCAUGAGGGGCCACAUGACUUAGGGCCGGGAUCGGUCACUCAGCCAGCAAAAACACUGGAAGAAAACAAAACAACUUCAGACUCUAUGCUGCAUUUCCGUAAUAUAUCUGCCCAAAGACUGGACAACAAAGGUAAAGGAGGCUGAUGAGGAAACGAAAGGAUCCGUGGUUCUUGGCUCGCUGGGUGGCUCAUCAACAAAGCCCCAGCAUCACUCCUGCAGAUGCCCUAGCCUGGCCUGGGCUGGGAUGGGCAAAAUUCACCAUGGGACUCUUGUUCAAGAGAGGGAGAUCAAAGCCAGAAACACUUACCCAGAAUGGCCAUGCAGACUAAAAUUCCAAUUCUAAAAAUACUUUUAAAAUGUAACGUACAACAAAGGAAAGCUGGAAAAAUAUUUAAAAAAGGAUGAAAGGGCAAGAAAAAUUCAACCCACGACCUCAAGGCGAUUAUAAUCUGUGUUCUGCUGCUUCCCAGAGCCGCUUCAGUCUUCAGCUCAGAGUCUACCAGACACUAAAAUGCAACUGAACACUCAGUUCAUACUUGUUCUUCUAAUUAGCUGCCUCUUCCAUUUGAUUAAUAUUGCCUCCUAAUUUAAUUGUAAAUUGUAUUUCUGGUUUAUAUUUCGCUUCUCCCUCCUGUUGUACCUGGUGACCAUCUUCAUUAAUCAUAUUGUAGCUUUUUAAUGAAUCUCAUAUGCCAAUUUAUGGUGAACAAGACUUGAUAUGAAGGCAUCUUCAUCAAAUCAUUCAUAAUCUUGUAACUAUUGGUUUAUUUUCUGUAACGACCUAUAAAUGUACACCAAAAAAAUGAAAGAUUCCCCCUAAAAUGUAAUGGGACAGAACUUUGUUUACGUAGAUUUCUGAGGAUGGGUUGAGACGCCAAAUUCCGCUUGUGUUUGGAAUUUCUAUUUCACUGGGCUUAGUGAGGGUGCCCAUGUUUUGCAAUCCUGUGCUCUAGAAUCUAUCAUAAACAGAUUCUUCUAAUUGUUUGACAUUAAACUGCAAAUUUGUGUUUUUGUGUCUGCUCAAAUAUAAAAUGUCUUUGGGAAAAAUACAGAGAAUGGUUCGU